Molecule: long non-coding RNA, 4512 nt
Organism: Bactrocera dorsalis (oriental fruit fly)
Lineage: Eukaryota; Metazoa; Arthropoda; Insecta; Diptera; Tephritidae
Exons: 3
Source: RefSeq, a predicted model, not a curated record
UGGUAAAUCACUUAUCAAUCAGCUGAUUGAAAAAACAUAAAUUACAAUAUUUGCAAAAAUAAGUAUUUCGCAGUCAAAAUGCCAAGGAGAAUUGAAAAUUUAAAAUAAUGGGCGCGCUGUAAAGAAUCAGGCAUUAAACCUGAUGAUACUUGACUCUUCGACGAGGAAGAUGCGGACGAAAUGUUUGAAAACUUUUCAUUGAACUUUCUUCACUUAUUAAACACUCGUAGAAGUGUUCAUCUCGGAAUACCAAAGUCAUCCCAAUGGCGACAUGUUAUACUUAGGAAUUUUGAUGACAGCCAUUUCAACGAAAUGAUUCGUGUUCGCCCGGUCGAAUUUGGCCGCUUCCUAGGUUAUAUAAAGGACGAUAGUGUAUUUAACACAAAUUCUAGUGGAGCAUAACUUCCUUUGCAUUCACAAUUAAAAAUAGUGUUAUUUAGGUUAGGAUCCUCCGGAGAUGGAUUAUCUAUACGAAAGGUGGCUUCACUGUUUGGCGUGGGCGAUGGGGGAACUAUUCAAAAUAUAACUAAAGGCGUAUUUAAAGCAAUAUUGAGGUUAACUUUCUGUUUUGGCCAAAUGAAAAGGAACGGUUGGAAAUUGUUACUGGAACGCGGAAAGAGAUGCCAGGUUGUAUAGGAUAUAUUGAUGGAUCCAAAUUAAAGUUGGCUGAAGCGCCAGCCAAAAAACAUAAACUUUUUUAUUCACGAAAACGCCAAAUGCCAUUAAAAUGCAAGCUGUUUGUGACUAUAGGCUACGAAUUAAACAAGUCACAAUAAGAUACCCUGGAAGUGUUCAUAACGCCAUCUGACUCUCAAUGCAUUGUUGGAUAUAGCGCCUAACCACGCAAGUAGUUUUUAUGUACAUCAGUAAAAAUAGUACGGACUACACUACGGAAGAAAGAAACAGUUUCAAUAAGUACUUUUCAAAAUAUCGUGUUCGAAAGAAUUUAGAAUGAUAAAUGAGCACAAUAAAAGAGAGUGCAAUGAGUGGAUAAUGGUAUGCUGCAUUCUCCAUAAUAUGCUAAUCAAUUUCCAAAUUGAAAACGAAGAAAGCAACCCACCUCAAUAUAGCUUACCAUCAGAAAGUAACACAAAAUCUAGCCUUCUUGACUUCAUACAAAAUCAUAUAUUAACUUAAAAUACAUCAUAAUUCCAAAGUAUAUUUACUAUUCAUUGGUUUAAUUAAAACAUAUAUAAAAAUGUUUUUUUUUAUUUAAAAAUUAAUAUAAAAGGAAAACAAAUAUCGCGAACUCGAAACCCAAAACCUAGGAGGUCUAAGGCUAAAACACACAAAAUAAAAACAAAAAGUUUGAGAGAAUGUUUUGUACGGUGUACCGAUAAUGCAACAAACAAUCGACACGGAGACGAUCGCUUAAAAUAAAAAAGCCGUAAAGGGCUAUUUGGAUGAUAUCUAAUACUGCAAAAAAUAAAAUUUCUUCUUCACCAACCGUGUUAUUUCAAAAUCGUUUUAAAAAAGUUUUUUUGUAUAUUACAUAUAUUAGUAUAACAAAUAUAUAUAAACAAAAUGAAACAAGACAAAUUUUAUCAUUGUAUUAAAUAUAUAUAAAAAAUAAAAGAUUAAAGUGGAUAAUAUGGCUGAAGGCAUAGCUCGACUGAUUGCGAUUCAAACGACAAACUUAAGAACUGACAUACAAGUAGCUCAGCUAAAUAGCCAGAUAGAAAACAUAACUGCUACGCAAGUGAGUUCGUUUAUAUUAUUAUUCGGAUAGAAGGCCAAUUUAUAUACAUAAUUGAUCAUGAAAUGAGCAUACUUAGAAAAUGAUCGCAAUCCUUAAUAGAUUAUUACAAUGAAGUCAAUAAGAAAUAAGCACUAUUAAUUAAUAAAACUAUAACACACGGAAGAAAUUCCGAAAUUACAAAACAAUUAAAUAAUAAAAACUGAGAAACCGCGCUUAGAACAUUCAUAACUGGUUUAAAUUAUCCUUUAAACCAAAUAUUUUUUAUGUUAACGACUACCGAUUUGCAAUAGACUUAGAUCAAUCAUUCAAAUAAUAAAUAACCGCAGGCCUAUAAGUUAGCAACAUUAAAGUUAACUGCGAUAAGCAGAAUAAUGCUGGAUAAGCAAUUAACCAAUCAACAUCCGGCACGCGCAGUAUAAACUACAGACAGGAAUUAAUGCUGACCAACAAUAAUGCAACCAUUGCAACAAUUGUCGAGCAGUUAACAAAUCAACAUCCGGCACACGCGGAAUAACAAGACACAAGUAAAUAAAUCAAUAGUGCUCGCAUAAGUAAUUUUUAAGUUAUAAAUAAUUGUUAAUUGAAAUUGUAAUUUUAGUCUUAGAAGAACAUUUGACAAUAAAGGUCACUUUGACCAAAAAAAUAAAUUUUUUUAGCCGUUUUAAUUUAACCGACAAUAAUUGGCGCCCGAGCUUAAAAAAAGCUUGUUGGUUCGUGAAAGUCUAAAAGUGCCUUUAAAAAAAUAUAGUAAAAAACGCCGCGAAAAAGACAGUGAGCGUGUGGAGGAUAGAACAAGAGACUUCCUGGAUGCUCCAACGACACCAACAAGGAAUAACAGCGAAAGCCUACAGCCAACAAAGCCUACAGUAACAAAAACAGUGUGAGAAGGUGUACCUCAGUACCAACAAGGAAAAGGGACAAAUACACGAUCAUCGGUUAAGAGGAUAAUGAAGCUGUAUAUAGUGUAAGUAGCAUAAGAAAUGUAAUUAAUAAUAAAAAAAAAACAGAGAGAAGAAAAAUUGUGAAAAAAGUUUAAAAAAGAAAAAAUUGUUCUUAAUAAUAAAUAAAUUAUUAAGUAAGAGGAAAAUUUUAACUAUUAAGCUACAGAAAAAUUGCUACAGAAUUCUCGUUAAAGCUAUAGUUUAAGUAAAUAUAACCAAAAAAAUAAAAUACGGCUUAUACAGCCAAUAAUAUAAACUAAACUGAAAAUAAUAUUGCUUAACUAUGUGAUUCCGUAGCCAACUCAGAAGUUGACCGGACCCUCCAGGGUAAAAAGCCCCCUUGCUAGAAGGGAUAACAAAAAAUAUAAAUACUCAAAGGAAAAAAAGAAAGGAAAAAAAAUUAAAAAUGGCAAAUCCAAACAAUCUAAUUAGACCCCCUGUACUCGGGAUUAAUUCUCCUGCUGCACCAACAGCACCGUCAGGUCCUAAUAACACAAUUCCGCCAGAAUUGGCGAACAUGAUAAAAAACAUGGUAACUUUAGCAAUAGAGGCAAGUGUACCUAAUGUAGUACAUAAAAUUUAUUGUUUGUUUUUUAGUAACGCUAACGCUCGAGAACGGCGGAACCAAUCUUCAUGAAAUCAGAAGUUGUUCGCUGUGGAUCUGGAAAGGGUUAGAUAUAAAACAAACCAUAUACUUUUCAUAAGGAAAAGCCGAAAGAUUGGAAAUUUCCAAAAAGUGACUUUUCAUACAAUUCUUUUUUGUUUUGUUUUUCAAUAUUUUGAUUUGUAAAUUAUUUGAAUCGUUCAAUUUCGGUCGCUUGCUUUUUUAUUCCGGCUAUUUUAAAAACAAAUUUUGAAAAUUAUUCAGUGAAAACUUUAUGUGUGUUUCAAACGAAGUGAUCAAUUACAGAUUGAAAUUUGUUACGAAGCAACGAAGACCUCGCUCUAAUAUCGGUCGUCGUUCUUUUUGCCAUCUACGUAUGGCAGCCCAAGACACAUGAACUACAUGAGACUCCCAGGAUGCGAUAACAUAUGUGUGGAAUUAUGGAUCGCUGUCAAUCAGCAAGCGAUCAUCACGAUAAUACAGCAAGACUUUUCAAACAACAGCUACGAUGUUUGAUGGACUUUAUCUUGAAGCAACGUAUGUAUAUACAAGUAUGGUGCAGUCAGAUGCUGGAUGUACUCUGCUGAGUUGCAAAAAAGAGGUUUGCCGCACGUGCACAUUCUUCUUUGAAUGGUGGAUGGUGGUUACACCAGAUCAAAUUGAUGAAAUCAUUUCUGCGGAAAUUCCUCAUGCAGAGAAAGAUCCAUUAUUCUACGAAGUGAUGAAAACCAAUAUGGCGCAUGGAUCUUGCGGGCACCACAAUUACACUUGCAAUAAAUGCACGAAACACUAUCCACGUGCUUUUCUUUCGGAAACGCAAACUGGAAAUGAUGGAUAUCCACUCUAUCGUCGUAGCUCAUCAGACGAAAAUGGCACGACAUUUACCAUUCAACUUAGAGUAGUGAAUAUUGAAGAGAAUACAGUACAGCCAGCAGAAAUACUUCCAACAACAAAAUUUACAUUGACAAUUUUUUUCUCAACUUGCGUCAGUGAUUCGUUUGUGAGAACAUUGCUCUAUUUGGAAAUGCCUUGAUAUUAUGCAUGUAAUGCAUCGCCGAAGAAACAGGUACGCAGAAAGCAAGGCCAACCAAUAGAUUGACAUCCAGGUGUGUUCUCAACUAAUUCCUUAGGACGAAUUUACAUAAUCCACCCGAAAAACUACGAUUGCUAAUACCUUCGAUUGCUAUUAAUAAAUGUACGUCGUUCAGUUUGCUUUGAGUCAUUGCGCACACUUUUCGCGAUGGUGACAUAUCAGCCUUCAAAGCCGC